GGGAAUCUUGCGCAAUGGGCGAAAGCCUGACGCAGCCAUGCCGCGUGAAUGAUGAAGGUCUUAGGAUUGUAAAGUUCUUUCGCCCGUGACGAUGAUGACGGUAACGGGAGAAGAAGCCCCGGCUAACUUCGUGCCAGCAGCCGCGGUAAUACGAAGGGGCUAGCGUUGUUCGGAAUUACUGGGCGUAAAGCGCGCGUAGGCGGUUUUGCAAGCCAGAGGUGAAAUGCCUGAGCUCAACUUAGGAAUUGCCUUUGGGACUGCGAGGCUUUGAGGACUGGAGAGGUGAGUGGAAUUCCCAGUGUAGAGGUGAAAUUCGUAGAUAUUGGGAAGAACACCAGUGGCGAAGGCGGCUCACUGGCCAGUUUCUGACGCUGCAGCGCGAAAGCGUGGGGAUCGAAACAG
RNAcentral lists this ribosomal RNA (402 nucleotides) under uncultured bacterium. RNAcentral describes it as "bacterial SSU rRNA". It matches the Rfam family "Bacterial small subunit ribosomal RNA", at positions 357 to 776 of the family's 1533-position model. The record is from RNAcentral.